Molecule: ribosomal RNA, 484 nt
Filed under: uncultured bacterium
Lineage: Bacteria
Description: partial 16S ribosomal RNA
Rfam family: Bacterial small subunit ribosomal RNA
Source: RNAcentral
AUUGAACGCUGGCGGCAGGCCUAACAUAUGCAAGUCGAGCGGAUGAAGGGAGCUUGCUCCUGGAUUCAGCGGCGGACGGGUGAGUAAUGCCUAGGAAUCUGCCUGGUAGUGGGGGAUAACGUCCGGAAACGGGCGCUAAUACCGCAUACGUCCUGAGGGGGAAAGUGGGGGAUCUUCGGACCUCACGCUAUCAGAUGAGCCUAGGUCGGAUUAGCUAGUUGGUGGGGUAAAGGCCUACCAAGGCGACGAUCCGUAACUGGUCUGAGAGGAUGAUCAGUCACACUGGAACUGAGACACGGUCCAGACUCCUACGGGAGGCAGCAGUGGGGAAUAUUGGACAAUGGGCGAAAGCCUGAUCCAGCCAUGCCGCGUGUGUGAAGAAGGUCUUCGGAUUGUAAAGCACUUUAAGUUGGGAGGAAGGGCAGUAAGUUAAUACCUUGCUGUUUUGACGUUACCAACAGAAUAAGCACCGGCUAACUUCGUG